UUAGACCCAAUAAUAAUGAGCAGAAGUGCAGGUAUGUUGUCACUUAAAUGGACAAACUGUAAAAAUGUUCAUUUAGACCCAAUAAUAAUGAGCAGAAGUGCAGGUAUGUUGUCACUUAAAUGGACAAACUGUAAAAAUGUUCAUUUAGACCCAAUAAUAAAGCCCAGCUUGUGAGAUGACAAUCUUCCAUUAUUUCCACAGUCAAAGACAGUUUAUCAGGACUAAUUGUUGCUGUGCAGGAAUUCACUGCAUUUAGUUUGAUGUUGUUGUUAAUUAGUUUUGAUGUUGUUGUUAAUUAGUUUCAUGUUGUUGUUAAUUAGUUUGAUGUUGUUGUUAAUUAGUUUUGAUGUUGUUGUUAAUUUGUUUUGAUGUUGUUAUUAAUUAGUUUGAUGUUGUUGUUAAUUAGUUUGAUGUUGUUGUCAAUUAGUUUGAUAUUGUUGUUAAUUAGUUUGAUGUUGUUGUUAAUUAGUUUGAUGUUGUUGUUAAUUAGUUUGAUGUUGUUGUUAAUUAGUUUUGAUGUUGUUGUUAAUUAGUUUGAUGUUGUUGUUAAUUAGUUUGAUGUUGUUGUUAAUUAGUUUGAUGUUGUUGUUAAUUAGUUUGAUGUUGUUAAUUUGUUUGAUGUUGUUGUUAAUUCGUUUUGAUGUUGUUGUUAAUUAGUUUUGAUGUUGUUGUUAAUUAGUUUGAUGUUGUUGUUAAUUAGUUUGAUGAUGUUGUUAAUUAGUUUGAUGUUGUUAAUUAGUUUGAUGUUGUUGUUAAUUAGUUUGAUGUUGUUGUUAAUUAGUUUUGAUGUUGUUGUUAAUUAGUUUGAUGUUGUUGUUAAUUAGUUUGAUGUUGUUGUUAAUUAGUUUGAUGUUGUUGUUAAUUAGUUUGAUGUUGUUGUUAAUUAGUUUGAUGUUGUUGUUAAUUAGUUUUGAUGUUGUUGUUAAUUAGUUUGAUGUUGUUGUUAAUUAGUUUGAUGUUGUUGUUAAUUAGUUUGAUGUUGUUAAUUAGUUUGAUGUUGUUGUUAAUUAGUUUGAUGUUGUUGUUAAUUAGUUUUGAUGUUGCUGUUAAUUAGUUUGAUGUUGUUGUUAAUUAGUUUGAUGUUGUUAAUUAGUUUGAUGUUGUUGUUAAUUAGUUUGAUGUUGUUGUUAAUUAGUUUUGAUGUUGCUGUUAAUUAGUUUGAUGUUGUUGUUAAUUAGUUUGAUGUUGUUGUUAAUUAGUUUGAUGUUGUUGUUAAUUAGUUUUGAUGUUGCUGUUAAUUAGUUUGAUGUUGUUGUUAAUUAGUUUGAUGUUGUUGUUAAUUAGUUUGAUGUUGUUGUUAAUUAGUUUUGAUGUUGUUGUUAAUUAGUUUUGAUGUUGUUGUUAAUUAUUUUGAUGUUGUUGUUAAUUAGUUUGAUGUUGUUGUUAAUUAGUUUGAAUUGACAACGUCAAAGUGGAGUUGAAACAUUUGUGACUAAAACCUUCCAGCAGCCAACUUGAGAGGGAAACAAGAAUUUGAUUGGAUCGUGAAGGGGAAUAAGGGGUAGAAAAUGGAUGGAUCAAAAUGUAGCAGCACAUUACAUUUUUCAGCACUGAAUUGUUUCUACUCAAUAGUUUUCUGCAGCGUCUUAUUUUGAUUUUGAUACUGAAAUGUUUUACACUGAAUUUCAUACUAUUUUUUUGCCUUGAAUUUUUUUUGCAUUAAAUAAUUUUGUGUUAUUUACUUUUUACACUGAAUGUUUUUACCCUGAAUUUCAUACAAAGAAGAUUUUUGCACUGAA
Molecule: long non-coding RNA, 1739 nt
Organism: Nerophis ophidion (straightnose pipefish)
Lineage: Eukaryota; Metazoa; Chordata; Actinopteri; Syngnathiformes; Syngnathidae
Exons: 2
Source: RefSeq, a predicted model, not a curated record